AUAAUGGCCCUUUCUUACGUCUUUAUCCACACUGAUAUCUUGCUGAAGCUUUUACAGGCCCCGUUUCCACUUAAAUGCCUGAAGGUAGGAAACCUUCCUGCUAAGACAUUGCAAAGACAGUGGCAUUACAAGGACGCUGCUGUAUUGGGACUGUAAAAGCUUUGGAUCAGAUGCUGUACGUGAGGGACAUUUGUCAGAUGAGCCAAGGAGGAGGACAGAAGAGAACAGCAGGCCAGUGGAGCACUUGGAACAGCGGAAUCCAGAGGAAACUGGUAGAGGGAAGAGGAUGAUUUAGGUGACCCAAACACAGGCCCAAAACAAGUUAAGCUACGCCAGUAUCCCCUUGACCAUUUUGGAGUGCAAAACUAAAGAGACACACCAGACAAGACACAGAUACCGCAACAAAAGAUUAUAUGAUGGAGAUAGACACCAGAUAAGACACAGAGAAAGCAACAGAAGUAUAGGGUAUGAUGGAAAGAGAUGAGAAGGAUAUGAUGUAGAGAGACAUAGCAGACAAUACAAAGAGACAGCAACAGAAGUAUAGGGUAUGAUGGAAAGAGACACCAGAAGAACAGAACAGGCUAUAACAGAAGAAAAUAGACAAAGGAGAAAGUAACAAUCAAGAACCUGAGACAGCAACAAACAAGAUACAGACAGCAAUAUACAAGACAUAGGGAAAGUGACAGAAGAGGGUAGAUGGAGAGAGAACAGAGGUGGGUUGAGCACAAAGUAGACUGCAUCACUUCAUGCUGCUCUAUAGAUUCUAAUUCAUUUUAUUUAAUUGCACAGUGAUAAAGUAAAACAUGGUUUACAAAGAAUUUGCAGGUGAGGUGAAAAAGCCUGUGAAAUGACUAUGAAAACAAUUGUUUAGUUUGCACUUUUUUACAACCGGGACAGGACGAGAGAGGAGGGUGGACAAGAGACAGCAACAUAUACGUCUAAGAGACAGCAACAGAAGAGGGCAGAAAAGACAGACAGCAACAGAUGACAAAGAGAAAGCGAUGGAGAGAGGCAGAGGAGGGGUGAGCACACAGUUGACUGUAUCACUUAAAGCUGCUCUAUCGAUUCGAAUUACUGCACAGUGUGAAUGUGCAUGUGUGUGAAAGAGAGAGGGUGUUUGGGUACUGUGGAAUUCUUUAAUCAGUAUGGUUCAUUGGACAGGUCAGAGUCCAUGUUUGACAUUGUUGAGUGGUAUGGAGGUUUUUGGCAACACACUGUAGAUGUAUGUGUUCCAGAGUAGGGAGUAGAGAAUGUUCCAGAGUAGAGAGACCCACAGUAGAGACUGUAAUUGAGUACUGGUAGUGUUUGCCGAAGCAGAUGGGAAGGUGCAAGUUACCUGAAAAAUAUGUUAUCAAAUUCAUGCAUUUAGCUCUUGAAAUUCCUUCUUUUUAUAUGCCCGGGGGAAGAUGCCCCCAGAACCCUCUACUGGCUUUGGGCUAAACAGCAUAUCGAUUGCGCAACCAGGGGUGGAAAGACCUUGGAUCAUUGUUACUCUAACUUCCGCGACGCAUAUAAGGCCCUGCCCCGCCCCCCUUUCGGAAAAGCUGACCACGACUCCAUUUUGUUGAUCCCUGCCUACAGACAGAAACUAAAACAAGAAGCUCCCACGCUGAGGUCUGUCCAACGCUGGUCUGCCCAAGCUGACUCCACCCUCCAAGACUGCUUCCAUCACGUGGACUG
Long non-coding RNA from Oncorhynchus tshawytscha (Chinook salmon), 1680 nucleotides. The record is from Ensembl. Lineage: Eukaryota; Metazoa; Chordata; Actinopteri; Salmoniformes; Salmonidae.